Molecule: ribosomal RNA, 1537 nt
Filed under: Alcaligenes faecalis subsp. faecalis NCIB 8687
Lineage: Bacteria; Pseudomonadati; Pseudomonadota; Betaproteobacteria; Burkholderiales; Alcaligenaceae
Description: bacterial SSU rRNA
Rfam family: Bacterial small subunit ribosomal RNA
Source: RNAcentral
AACUGAAGAGUUUGAUCCUGGCUCAGAUUGAACGCUAGCGGGAUGCUUUACACAUGCAAGUCGAACGGCAGCACGAGAGAGCUUGCUCUCUUGGUGGCGAGUGGCGGACGGGUGAGUAAUAUAUCGGAACGUGCCCAGUAGCGGGGGAUAACUACUCGAAAGAGUGGCUAAUACCGCAUACGCCCUACGGGGGAAAGGGGGGGAUCGCAAGACCUCUCACUAUUGGAGCGGCCGAUAUCGGAUUAGCUAGUUGGUGGGGUAAAGGCUCACCAAGGCAACGAUCCGUAGCUGGUUUGAGAGGACGACCAGCCACACUGGGACUGAGACACGGCCCAGACUCCUACGGGAGGCAGCAGUGGGGAAUUUUGGACAAUGGGGGAAACCCUGAUCCAGCCAUCCCGCGUGUAUGAUGAAGGCCUUCGGGUUGUAAAGUACUUUUGGCAGAGAAGAAAAGGCAUCCCCUAAUACGGGAUGCUGCUGACGGUAUCUGCAGAAUAAGCACCGGCUAACUACGUGCCAGCAGCCGCGGUAAUACGUAGGGUGCAAGCGUUAAUCGGAAUUACUGGGCGUAAAGCGUGUGUAGGCGGUUCGGAAAGAAAGAUGUGAAAUCCCAGGGCUCAACCUUGGAACUGCAUUUUUAACUGCCGAGCUAGAGUAUGUCAGAGGGGGGUAGAAUUCCACGUGUAGCAGUGAAAUGCGUAGAUAUGUGGAGGAAUACCGAUGGCGAAGGCAGCCCCCUGGGAUAAUACUGACGCUCAGACACGAAAGCGUGGGGAGCAAACAGGAUUAGAUACCCUGGUAGUCCACGCCCUAAACGAUGUCAACUAGCUGUUGGGGCCGUUAGGCCUUAGUAGCGCAGCUAACGCGUGAAGUUGACCGCCUGGGGAGUACGGUCGCAAGAUUAAAACUCAAAGGAAUUGACGGGGACCCGCACAAGCGGUGGAUGAUGUGGAUUAAUUCGAUGCAACGCGAAAAACCUUACCUACCCUUGACAUGUCUGGAAUGCCGAAGAGAUUUGGCAGUGCUCGCAAGAGAACCGGAACACAGGUGCUGCAUGGCUGUCGUCAGCUCGUGUCGUGAGAUGUUGGGUUAAGUCCCGCAACGAGCGCAACCCUUGUCAUUAGUUGCUACGCAAGAGCACUCUAAUGAGACUGCCGGUGACAAACCGGAGGAAGGUGGGGAUGACGUCAAGUCCUCAUGGCCCUUAUGGGUAGGGCUUCACACGUCAUACAAUGGUCGGGACAGAGGGUCGCCAACCCGCGAGGGGGAGCCAAUCUCAGAAACCCGAUCGUAGUCCGGAUCGCAGUCUGCAACUCGACUGCGUGAAGUCGGAAUCGCUAGUAAUCGCGGAUCAGAAUGUCGCGGUGAAUACGUUCCCGGGUCUUGUACACACCGCCCGUCACACCAUGGGAGUGGGUUUCACCAGAAGUAGGUAGCCUAACCGCAAGGAGGGCGCUUACCACGGUGGGAUUCAUGACUGGGGUGAAGUCGUAACAAGGUAGCCGUAUCGGAAGGUGCGGCUGGAUCACCUCCUUUU